RNAcentral lists this ribosomal RNA (1609 nucleotides) under Salmonella enterica subsp. enterica serovar Kedougou. Its description in RNAcentral is "bacterial LSU rRNA". It matches the Rfam family "Bacterial large subunit ribosomal RNA", at positions 1221 to 2812 of the family's 2925-position model. The record is from RNAcentral. Lineage: Bacteria; Pseudomonadati; Pseudomonadota; Gammaproteobacteria; Enterobacterales; Enterobacteriaceae.
UCGUUGGGUAGGGGAGCGUUCUGUAAGCCUGUGAAGGUGGCCUGUGAGGGUUGCUGGAGGUAUCAGAAGUGCGAAUGCUGACAUAAGUAACGAUAAAGCGGGUGAAAAGCCCGCUCGCCGGAAGACCAAGGGUUCCUGUCCAACGUUAAUCGGGGCAGGGUGAGUCGACCCCUAAGGCGAGGCCGAAAGGCGUAGUCGAUGGGAAACGGGUUAAUAUUCCCGUACUUGGUGUUACUGCGAAGGGGGGACGGAGAAGGCUAUGUUGGCCGGGCGACGGUUGUCCCGGUUUAAGCGUGUAGGUGUGUGUUCCAGGUAAAUCCGGUUCACUUUAACACUGAGGCGUGACGACGAGGCACUACGGUGCUGAAGCAACAAAUGCCCUGCUUCCAGGAAAAGCCUCUAAGCAUCAGGUAACAUCAAAUCGUACCCCAAACCGACACAGGUGGUCAGGUAGAGAAUACCAAGGCGCUUGAGAGAACUCGGGUGAAGGAACUAGGCAAAAUGGUGCCGUAACUUCGGGAGAAGGCACGCUGACAUGUAGGUGAAGUGAUUUACUCAUGGAGCUGAAGUCAGUCGAAGAUACCAGCUGGCUGCAACUGUUUAUUAAAAACACAGCACUGUGCAAACACGAAAGUGGACGUAUACGGUGUGACGCCUGCCCGGUGCCGGAAGGUUAAUUGAUGGGGUCAGCGCAAGCGAAGCUCCUGAUCGAAGCCCCGGUAAACGGCGGCCGUAACUAUAACGGUCCUAAGGUAGCGAAAUUCCUUGUCGGGUAAGUUCCGACCUGCACGAAUGGCGUAAUGAUGGCCAGGCUGUCUCCACCCGAGACUCAGUGAAAUUGAACUCGCUGUGAAGAUGCAGUGUACCCGCGGCAAGACGGAAAGACCCCGUGAACCUUUACUAUAGCUUGACACUGAACAUUGAGCCUUGAUGUGUAGGAUAGGUGGGAGGCUUUGAAGUGUGGACGCCAGUCUGCAUGGAGCCGACCUUGAAAUACCACCCUUUAAUGUUUGAUGUUCUAACGUGGACCCGUAAUCCGGGUUGCGGACAGUGUCUGGUGGGUAGUUUGACUGGGGCGGUCUCCUCCUAAAGAGUAACGGAGGAGCACGAAGGUUGGCUAAUCCUGGUCGGACAUCAGGAGGUUAGUGCAAUGGCAUAAGCCAGCUUGACUGCGAGCGUGACGGCGCGAGCAGGUGCGAAAGCAGGUCAUAGUGAUCCGGUGGUUCUGAAUGGAAGGGCCAUCGCUCAACGGAUAAAAGGUACUCCGGGGAUAACAGGCUGAUACCGCCCAAGAGUUCAUAUCGACGGCGGUGUUUGGCACCUCGAUGUCGGCUCAUCACAUCCUGGGGCUGAAGUAGGUCCCAAGGGUAUGGCUGUUCGCCAUUUAAAGUGGUACGCGAGCUGGGUUUAGAACGUCGUGAGACAGUUCGGUCCCUAUCUGCCGUGGGCGCUGGAGAACUGAGGGGGGCUGCUCCUAGUACGAGAGGACCGGAGUGGACGCAUCACUGGUGUUCGGGUUGUCAUGCCAAUGGCACUGCCCGGUAGCUAAAUGCGGAAGAGAUAAGUGCUGAAAGCAUCUAAGCACGAAACUUGCCCCGAGAUGAGUUCU